AUCCUUAAGCUGCCUACAGCUCGAGGAGUCAGUUGAAUCUCUGAAAACCCGCUGCUGCAUUUGGACGUUGCAAACAGACAAUCAGAGCAUUCAGGCAGAGAACUCCGGCUUAAGCCUGCAAAUUUGGAUGGGGCACAUGUAUACCUACUUAUCUGUGUGAUCCUUCAGCAAGAAACCAGAAAGUCUCUAGUCUCUGCCAGUUCAUCAGCAAUAUGAAGGGGCUGAUAGAGAUGAUCUCUUGACCCCCAGUGAACGCUGACCACCCCAUGGUUCUGCUCCAUCCUCACCCUGUGAGGCUGUUGACAGCUCUUAGCAAGCUCGCCUUGUGCCCAGCUCUGCAGAAUGGCCUGGAGUCUGCCAUGUUAAGCUUGAAAUGCCUAAAGCAUCUGCUAGCCAAGUGCUGCUGGUCCAAUUGCUGUGAUUUUGCAAAGUCUGAUCCAGAGUGCCUCACGACUGCGAGAAACCCUGGGCAAGAACUUCAUCUUUAACAGCGCGCACUGCGCUUGGCAGGAGAUGUUUGCCCUUGCUUCAGCUCCAGCAGCCUUUGCUCAUGUGCACACAAUCUCCAGGGACCUCUCUUUCAGACUUGAUGGCUGAUGGCCAUGUGAAGGCAGUCCCAUGGGGGAGCACCACAUGAAUGAUGCUGGCAUGAUAAAAGAACACUGAGGACCAGCAACCAUCAGAAGCUGGAGGAGAAUACGGUGAACAUCUUUCCGUGUCAUUAAAGUUUCUGCUACAAUGUCCAAGAUGAAAUUUUAUUUCUAGUCUGGAGGUAUGGCCGAAUUUUGUGUCCUAUGAAU
Molecule: long non-coding RNA, 800 nt
Organism: Bubalus bubalis (water buffalo)
Lineage: Eukaryota; Metazoa; Chordata; Mammalia; Artiodactyla; Bovidae
Exons: 3
Source: RefSeq, a predicted model, not a curated record